GACGAACGCUGGCGGCGUGCUUAACACAUGCAAGUCGAACGGAAAGGCCCUGCUUGCAUGGUACUCGCGUGUGGCACGCGUGUGUAUAACAUGGGAGUAAUCCCCUGUAGACUGGGAUAUACCUUCGGGACUCUGUGGAAUAUCCGAGAGAGGCCCUCCUGCGUGUGGUGGGUGGUUGGAUUGUUCGGUUGGGGGUGGAUUCGCGGCUUACUAGCUAGUUGGUGGGUUAGUGGCUUACAAAGCCGGGGACGGGUGGCCGGCCUGAGAGGGUGACCGGCCACAUUGGGACUGAGAUACGGCCCAGACUCCUACGGGGGGCAGCAGUGGGGAAUAUGGCACAAUGGGCGGAAGCCUGAUGCAGCAACGCCGCGUGCGGGAGGACGGCCUUGGGGUGGUAAACCGCUUUCGUAGGUAACGAAGCGUGAGUGACGGUAAUGGGUAAAGAAGCACCGGCUAACUACGUG
Molecule: ribosomal RNA, 464 nt
Filed under: uncultured bacterium
Lineage: Bacteria
Description: partial 16S ribosomal RNA
Rfam family: Bacterial small subunit ribosomal RNA
Source: RNAcentral